AGCAGCCGCGGUAAUUACAGCUCCAAUAGCGUAUAUUAAAGUUGUUGCAGUUAAAUAGCUCGUAGUUGAAUUUCGGGGUCAGUAGAUUGGUCGUGCCACUGGUAUGUACUGGUCUUACUGGCUCCUCCUUCCUGAUGAACCGUAAUGCCAUUAAUUUGGUGUUGCGGGGAAACUGGACUGUUACUUUGAAAAAAUUAGAGUGUUUAAAGCAGGCUAACGCUUGAAUACAUUAGCAUGGAAUAAUGAAAUAGGACGUUCGAUUUUAUUUUGUUGGUUUCUAAGAUUGACGUAAUGAUUAAUAGGGAUAGUUGGGGGCAUUAGUAUUCAAUUGUCAGAGGUGAAAUUCUUGGAUUUAU
RNAcentral lists this ribosomal RNA (356 nucleotides) under uncultured Glomeraceae. RNAcentral's name for it is "SSU rRNA". It matches the Rfam family "Eukaryotic small subunit ribosomal RNA", at positions 569 to 929 of the family's 1831-position model. Lineage: Eukaryota; Fungi; Glomeromycota; Glomeromycetes; Glomerales; Glomeraceae. The record is from RNAcentral.